GACGAACGCUGGCGGAGUGUAUAAUACAUGCAAGUAGAACGCUGAAGGAGGAGCUUGCUUCUCUGGAUGAGUUGCGAACGGGUGAGUAACGCGUAGGUAACCUGCCUGGUAGCGGGGGAUAACUAUUGGAAACGAUAGCUAAUACCGCAUAAUAGUAGAUGUUGCAUGACAUUUGCCUAAAAGGUGCAAUUGCAUCACUACCAGAUGGACCUGCGUUGUAUUAGCUAGUUGGUGGGGUAACGGCUCACCAAGGCGACGAUACAUAGCCGACCUGAGAGGGGGAUCGGCCACACUGGGACUGAGACACGGUCCAGACUCCUACGGGAGGCAGCAGUAGGGAAUCUUCGGCAAUGGACGGAAGUCUGACCGAGCAACGCCGCGUGAGUGAAGAAGGUUGUCGGAUCGUAAAGCUCUGUUGUAAGAGAAGAACGAGUGUGAGAGUGGAAAGUUCACACUGUGACGGUAUCUUACCAGAAAGGGACGGCUAACUACGUG
RNAcentral lists this ribosomal RNA (495 nucleotides) under uncultured bacterium. Its description in RNAcentral is "partial 16S ribosomal RNA". It matches the Rfam family "Bacterial small subunit ribosomal RNA", at positions 28 to 507 of the family's 1533-position model. The record is from RNAcentral.